This 459-nucleotide non-coding RNA is filed under the name Pongo abelii (Sumatran orangutan). Lineage: Eukaryota; Metazoa; Chordata; Mammalia; Primates; Hominidae. The record is from RNAcentral.
AAAAAAGUAAGAAGUACCCAACAUUAUACUGAACUCCUACCAAGGAAAAGCUACAGGUGAUGGGAAGUAGGAACUAAAAGGAAAUCUAUAUUGGGAAAGAGAGCAGCAGAUAGGGCAUUACUAAUCAUGACAAGCUAAUAACUUCCCUGCACAUAGGGAAAGGAAACAGCAGCUCUGAGAACAUGGAGACAGAAAAUGGAAAUCAUGCUUUCUCUAUGUUUAUCUCUAAAAGUUUCAUUUGAAUACACAGGCUAUGACAGACGGAGGAGGAAGAAAGCAGGGGUGUCCGGGAGGUACUUCCAGAAUGAUUUGCUCUUAUUCUUUACCUUAAUCUUGAAGGAAUUCAAGAAGAUAUCCAUGUUUUUAAAAUCUAAGAUAACUACUGCUCUUUUCAUUCUAACAUGUGAGUGUACGUUUUAAUAUCAUGUGAAUGCAUAAUAGUGAAUAAAGCUAAUGAAC